RNAcentral lists this ribosomal RNA (243 nucleotides) under uncultured bacterium. RNAcentral's name for it is "partial 16S ribosomal RNA". It matches the Rfam family "Bacterial small subunit ribosomal RNA", at positions 524 to 767 of the family's 1533-position model. The record is from RNAcentral.
UACGGAGGGGGCUAGCGUUGUUCGGAAUUACUGGGCGUAAAGCGCGCGUAGGCGGACCUGCAAGUCGGGGGUGAAAGCCCGAGGCUCAACCUCGGAACUGCCUUCGAUACUGCGGGUCUCGAGUCCGGGAGAGGUGAGUGGAAUUCCUAGUGUAGAGGUGAAAUUCGUAGAUAUUAGGAAGAACACCAGUGCGAAGGCGGCUCACUGGCCCGGUACUGACGCUGAGGCGCGAAAGCGUGGGGA